This 71-nucleotide transfer RNA is filed under the name Ictidomys tridecemlineatus (thirteen-lined ground squirrel). RNAcentral describes it as "Spermophilus tridecemlineatus (thirteen-lined ground squirrel) tRNA". It matches the Rfam family "tRNA". From Rfam's summary of the family: Transfer RNA (tRNA) molecules are approximately 80 nucleotides in length. Their secondary structure includes four short double-helical elements and three loops (D, anti-codon, and T loops). Further hydrogen bonds mediate the characteristic L-shaped molecular structure. tRNAs have two regions of fundamental functional importance: the anti-codon, which is responsible for specific mRNA codon recognition, and the 3' end, to which the tRNAs corresponding amino acid is attached (by aminoacyl-tRNA synthetases). tRNAs cope with the degeneracy of the genetic code in two manners: having more than one tRNA (with a specific anti-codon) for a particular amino acid; and 'wobble' base-pairing, i.e. permitting non-standard base-pairing at the 3rd anti-codon position. Lineage: Eukaryota; Metazoa; Chordata; Mammalia; Rodentia; Sciuridae. The record is from Rfam by way of RNAcentral.
GAAGGUGUGGCUCCUGAUAGAGCACUUGCCUGGCAUGCAUGAGGCCCUGGGUUCCAUCCCCAGCACCACCG